UGAAAAGCUAAUGAUCAAAUGAUACAUUGUAUGUGUUCAGCACAACUAGAAUGCAAAUCUUACAUUAUCCACAAAAACUCUAAAUAUGACAUAACACCAGGAAGAGUGCCUUAUUUUCUAUGCAGAGCAUACUUUCAAUGACUAAACGCGACAUGACAUUUCCUAUAGACUGAAACAGGCUACAGCUGUUCUACUACAUCUAGUAAGAACGUUUAAAGUGAAAAUCAGUACAGUGAAAUAUAACUUGUCAUGUUUUCAAUCAUGUCUAUAAAUAUGAAGUCUGAUCUAAAAGUAAUGCCUCCUGUUUUAUUAUGAUGGCCCACAACAUCAGAGACAGAAGUUGGUGAUAAGGCUUUAGAGAUUGAACCUUCCCACCGAUAACCCCUUACAUUUUGUUGCUGUGCAAUAGAUGGCAGCAGAGGGGCAGCUGGCAAACUGCUGUCUGACAUGGAAGCGUGUAAUGAGCAAAGGUGUGUAACUCAAUUCCUCCGUGUAGAAAAAAGCGGCACCCGCUGACGUUCAUUGAUGCCUGCUGAAUGUUUAUGGAGACAAAACAGUGGAUAUGAGCACAGUGAUGACAAGCCAUGUUCUGGAUGGCCAUGCAGGUAUUUAAGACGCACCUGCUGCUGUUAGAGUUGAGUGGUGAGCGGCGCAGGGUGCUCUGGGAGAGCGGAGUUGGGAAGGGGAACUGCCGCGUCAGCCGCAGCUGGGAGAGGGGUGCGAGAUGUGGGAGGAACGGCCGUGCAGGCACCGAGGUAUUUUGAUAUAGGUUUUGUGUUUUCUUGUUUUUCUUCAUCUGAAUGAAGGCAGGAAAAUAGAGGUUCUGGUGUAACACCACCUAAUACCUCCCAGUCUUUGAGAAUGUUCAAAACACUAUUGAACAGGCAAUAAAACUGCAAGAUUUAAAAACCCUCCUGUGAUAUUUCCUCCUGCAGCAUGUCAGGAUGCUGAAAUACCUAUCUUACUCUUGGUACCAGACCAUUCUUCUACAAUGUGGCUAUCAGAGUACUCUCCCUGUACCUCCCUUUGGAUUCAGGGUUGCAUCAUGCUCCUAUAAAAUUUCUACUUUCAUUUGGAUAAAAGUGAUAUCAACUUCUAGCUGUGCCUCAUCCUUCUUGAGUUCAGAUGAAAACUUCAGAUGAGGAGACAGAAGAUAUAUAGAGACAAGGGCAAAACCAGAACUUUGAGUGCCUGAUUCAUUGUCAGUAAUGUAAGUAUCCUUAGUCUAUAGGCUAAUAGCUGUCUUGUGUGAAUUUAUCUAAAGUAAUUUUGAACCUGGUAAUAUCAGAAUAUGAUGCAGUGGUUGCUGUUUCUCAUAUGUGAUGUGCUGCCUGUCUUACACGGAGUUAGACUUUGCUUACCCAAAAUAGAAGAAAGUUAGUUUGCAUCUAUAUUCAGAUGUUAAUGCUGAAGUCCAUAUUUUCAGCACUAGUCAGGUAAUAGCAACUUCAGGAAGCUAUACAUAUAAAAUACUGUUUCAAGAGUUGAAACUUACACCUCAGCUCUUCGGGUUACUGGUCAAUCUUUUUUGCCAUAACCUCUCAAAUAUAUUGAAAGAAUAAGAAAUGUUAUUGUUCAAAACUAUCACAGCCAAUUCAUACAAAAUAUUCAUCACCCUUACUCUAUUUUCAUGCAGUAUCUUUACUCUUGUUAUGAUUCCAAGUUUUUGUUGUUUUUCUUCACUGAAAUAAAAGCGGUUAUUCAUUAGGUUCA
This 1713-nucleotide long non-coding RNA is filed under the name Phasianus colchicus (ring-necked pheasant). RNAcentral describes it as "lncRNA (ENSPCLG00000021118.1)". The record is from RNAcentral. Lineage: Eukaryota; Metazoa; Chordata; Aves; Galliformes; Phasianidae.